This 468-nucleotide ribosomal RNA is filed under the name uncultured bacterium. RNAcentral's name for it is "bacterial SSU rRNA". It matches the Rfam family "Bacterial small subunit ribosomal RNA", at positions 329 to 794 of the family's 1533-position model. The record is from RNAcentral.
AACCAGACUCCUACGGGAGGCAGCAGUGAGGAAUAUUGGUCAAUGGCCGCAGGGCUGAACCAGCCAAGUCGCGUGAGGGAAGACGGUCCUAUGGAUUGUAAACCUCUUUUGUCGGGGAGCAAAAGACGCCACGUGUGGCGUUCCGAGAGUACCCGAAGAAAAAGCAUCGGCUAACUCCGUGCCAGCAGCCGCGGUAAUACGGAGGAUCCGAGCGUUAUCCGGAUUUAUUGGGUUUAAAGGGAGCGUAGGUGGGUUGUUAAGUCAGUUGUGAAAGUUUGCGGCUCAACCGUAAAAUUGCAAUUGAUACUGGCAGUCUUGAGUACAGUUGAGGUAGGCGGAAUUCGUGGUGUAGCGGUGAAAUGCUUAGAUAUCACGAAGAACUCCGAUUGCGAAGGCAGCUUACUAAACUGCCACUGACAUUGAUGCUCGAAAGUGUGGGUAUCAAACAGGAUUAGAUACCCUUGUAGC